UCGAUGAUGGCGUUGUAGGAGGCGUUUACCGAGCCGAAGUAGUACUGGGUCUGUUUCAUGACGCAGCUGCUCUCGCGCGUCUCGGGGCUCCCCUCGGCCUCCGCGGGGUCUGCGAGGGCCCAGAGCGCCUCAGCUCCGCCCACAGACCCUGGCAAGGUCUCCGGCCUCCCUCAGUCGUAGACCCCACCCUCCCCAUGGAGUCGUCUUAGCUCAGAUUGGGGACCCGGACUUGAGGAGGCGCCUCCAAAGCCCUACCUACCUGCUUGGAACCAGCUGUGGUAGAUGAGGCCGUAGAGAAGCUGCUGGAACAGGGACCUGCAGCGCACGGGGAGCCGAGUGCAGGUGGUCAGCAGAGGACGAUGCCAUGCCCUACUUCUCUUCUGAGCCCUCCCGGCCAGGGAGCACCUUCUCUACCCACCUCCCGCUCAGGACUCACCAGGCGGCAGCAGAGGUCCACCAGGCCAGGUUAAGGAAAUCUGCAACGGUGGGCUGCAGUGGAGAGAGGGGCGUGGACUGCCACUGCUGCCCCUCGCCCUAGGUCACCCCCAGCUUUAUCAAAUGUCAGAGCACCAGGAAUCCUCCAUCAUCAAUGAGGACACAGAGCUGGGUGAUGCCUACGUGUUGAGAUCCUGGUCCCUCCACACACGCUCUACCAGCUGCUGCGUGAUGCCCGUGUCCAAGAUCAGGUUGUGCAGAAGGAAGUUGUUGCCUGGAACAGGAGGGGAGGGGUGGGGGUGGGGGCAUCUUCUUGCAGCUCCUUGCCCACCCUCACCCCCACCCUUAAGGCUCCACCAGGAGCCUCCUCCAUGACCUGGCCCUGGCCCAGGCCCAGCCCUUAGCUUGUGCCUGCUUAUUUCCACACCUGCCCGGCCUCUGGGUUCCUCUGGGCUGGCCCCAUGCUGCCUGGGCACUGCCCAGAGCCAGCUGCCCUGCCAGGCACUCACACUGCUUGGAGUCUGGAGUCACUUUCUCCAUGAGCUCAAUAAAGUUUUUCAGGAACUCGG
This 1004-nucleotide long non-coding RNA is filed under the name Homo sapiens (human). RNAcentral's name for it is "novel transcript, antisense to CACNA2D2". Lineage: Eukaryota; Metazoa; Chordata; Mammalia; Primates; Hominidae. The record is from RNAcentral.